UUAGAUAAUGCCAUCUUUGUAGGCCUGGCAAGGCGCUUUCAUUUUUCACCUCGUGUAGAAAAAUAUUUUUCUAAGCUAUAUUUCUUACUUUGCAUUUAGGACGAGACUAGUGCUUUGUUGAAGUUGUAGAACUUAUUAGGCCUGCGCAAGCCAUUUUGAAGAAAUCGUUUUGUGGAUCAGUUAGCGGGGGACCGUGCGCAGUUUUCGUUAAGAAUCACGUUUGAACUGUCGUCGUCCGGUGUUGACGCCACAGAUCCCCGUCCCAGCGAACAAAGGAACAGUAAGGCCGAUGCACGCUUGUUAGCCCUGCCCGGGGGAAACAUUAUUUAUGAAAUAAUUUAAAAUUAAACCCACGCAAUUUUGUCAUAGUACUUUUACUUGAGACGUCUUUGUUUCAAAUAAAACAAACCAAUUAGCCUGACUCAUUCAGUCAUAUUAGCAGCAUCGGCUAGGGUUAGCCGCAAUUGUGGACAAGUAGCGAGCUAACGGCUAACUUCGGCAUUGUAUUGAGUCAAACAAGUUUUCUUUUUGGGGAAAAUGGCCGAAGUAUAUAUUCGAGUAGCAGAGGAGGAGAAUGAAGAACCCAUGGAGAUCCCGUCCGAGGAUGACGGUACUGUUCUGCUUUCAACUGUGGCAGCUCAGUUUCCAGGAGCGUGCGGCCUGCGGUUCAGGAGCCCCGUGUCUCAGUGCAUGCGGGGAGUACGUCUUGUGGAAGGGGUCCUGCACGCACCAGAAAACGGAUGGGGCAAUAUCGUGUAUGUUGUGAACUAUCCAAAAGACAACAAAAGGAAAAUGGAUGAAAUAGAUGCCUCCUCUGCUGUGAAAAUGAAGAGAGGGGAUAUGAAGACAUCUGACCUAAUUGUACUGGGUCUACCUUGGAAAACAACUGAGCAAGACUUGAAGGAUUAUUUCAGUACAUUUGGAGAAGUCAUCAUGGUUCAGGUAAAACGAGACGCUAAGACUGGCAACUCUAAAGGAUUUGGCUUUGUGAGGUUCACUGAGUAUGAGGCUCAAGAAAAGGUGAUUUCCCAACGCCAUAUGAUUGACGGGAGAUGGUGUGACUGCAAGCUCCCUAACUCGAAGGUGAAUAUGCAAGGUCCAGAUGAGCCACUGAGGAGCCGCAAAGUUUUUGUAGGCCGUUGCACAGAAGACAUGACCACAGACGACCUACGGCAGUUCUUUAUGCAGUACGGAGAAGUCACAGAUGUCUUCAUUCCCAAGCCAUUCCGUGCUUUUGCCUUUGUCACAUUUGCAGAUGAUCAGGUUGCCCAGUCUCUCUGUGGAGAGGACUUAAUUAUCAAAGGUGUCAGCGUUCAUAUCUCAAAUGCUGAACCCAAACACGGCAAUAGGCAGUUUGACCGUACAGCACGGUUUGGGAAUGGUUUUGGAGCGCAAGCAUUUGGUAGCAGCCGUAGUGGGUUAGGGAGCAGCACUAACAGUAGUCUGGCUAAUUUUGGCUCCUUCAGUCUGAACCCUGCUAUGAUGGCUGCUGCUCAGGCUGCUCUGCAGAGUAGUUGGGGGAUGAUGGGUAUGCUGGCAAGCCAGCAGCAGACAUCCACCUCAGGCAGCACCUCCAGUGGAACAAGCUCUAGUAGGGACCAGAGUCAGUCUUUCAGUACAGGCAACAGCAACUACGGCACCAGCUCAGCCAGUCUUGGCUGGGGAACAGGGUCAAACUCUACAACCAGCGGUAGUGGGUUUAGCUCAGGUUUUGGGUCCAGUAUGGAGUCAAAGUCAUCUGGGUGGGGUAUGUAAGUUAAGUGUUUGUAUGGUAAGUAUUGUGAGAAAGAUGAGUCUUUUCAAAAUUUAUUUCUGGUGUUAAUGCGUAUCUGAAAACUUAACACUUUUUGUGGAAGAUGUUUUGUACAUUUGGAAAAAAUGCUAAAGAUUUAAUUUAGAAAGUGUUGAAGUGAAUUGUUUACCAGGAUGUCCGACUAAAGUGCUAUUUUUGAUGUCUCAUUUGUUUGUAUCCAUUUCAACUGGAUUCUCUAAUGCAUGUAUUGUGAAAUGUGAUUAUAACCAUUUUGAAAAUGCAUGAAUGUUUGUGAUUCACCAUUAUCUGGAUUUGUCAUCAACCUAAAAGGCAAUCUUGCAUUGGGAAGAAUCUGGUUGAAACCUAAAUGUUUUAAGUGCAACUUUAUUUGCAGUCAAGUUCUGUGGAAAAGCCUUCAUUGAAAUCUCUUCUGCAGUUCACCUCUCUUCCAUUUUCCUGUGAGGAAGCUCCUCUUUGGCAGCAUUCUUGGGGUGAUAUCGGUAUCAUUCUCCCUCUUCCCACCUGUAAAUGCUAUGCCAUCAAAGAACGGCUUCACUCCGCAUGUUCUAAGAGACGGGACCUUGGGCUCUGCUGGUCGAGGUCUCCGUUUGAACCCUGACUGAAGUCUGUUCUGAAGGAUGAAGACGGAAGUUCCAACACUUUCAGUGUGUGGCCUUCUCAGACAUGACAUGGGGUAGUACCUGUCUUUUUGCUGCUUUUAAUGGCUUGUCAGAGUGAAUUAUCCUUUAUAUUUUUCACAGAUACAUUUAAGGUUAGAUGGAAGUUAUUGGGGGGGGUCUUUGUCUUUCUUUUAACCUUAAACAGAUAAACUCAGCAAUGUGGCAUCACCUCUCUGAACGAUGUUUGUCCCCAAUGUGGCUGAAGGAAUAAUGACACAUUGCUGAAUUGGUGAUGGGGAUUUGUAGAUGAGUUUGUACGUUAUGGGUAAUUCGCCAGACAGUCUGAACAGUCUCAAGUUGUCCCUAAGUGCAAAUCAACAUAUCAAUAAUUCUUACACUUUAAAGGAGAAACACGUUAAGUAGAAAACUAACAGUUUAAACCACUUAAAUGCAAGAUUAAGUCAUCUUUAGAGUCUGUGUAGUAAGUAAGUGCCACUUUGGCAAUGCUUAAAAAAUUGUUUAUCAGUUGUUUAGCACUGGUCAUUUGGUCAUUUUCACCAGUGCCAAAUGUACUAUUAUCUGACAUUUCAUAAGCUGGUCCCUGAAUAGAUAAGUUAUUUGUCUAAAUGUUCAGAAAGUUUUGAUGGAAUUACUGUAAUUGUAAGAAAAAUUACAGCUGAAACAAACCCAUAAAAGAAUGACAUUGGCACUUUUGAUGACACUUAACAAAUUGUCAUGUAUUAGUCAGCUUUCAUGUUUAUUUGAAUGUUGGGCACAAGUGAGACACUGCAGGUCUGCCUGUGUCUUGUCCUUAUUCUCUGCUUUCCUCCUCAGUUUCUCUGCUCUUCCUCUUCCCAGUAUUCUUCUUUUUCAAAUCCUUCUGCUCCUGGUUUAGUUCUUCACUUUUAUUUUGUAUGUAGAUGGACUGAAAUGAAUAAAGAGAAAUUAAACAUUAA
This is an RNA transcript of Seriola aureovittata, 3329 nucleotides long. It is a transcript of the gene named TAR DNA binding protein b, with no coding region annotated. The record is from RefSeq and is a predicted model, not a curated record. NCBI's taxonomy places the organism in Eukaryota, Metazoa, Chordata, Actinopteri, Carangiformes, Carangidae. The transcript is spliced from 6 exons.